RNAcentral lists this ribosomal RNA (1422 nucleotides) under Triticum aestivum (bread wheat). RNAcentral describes it as "partial small subunit ribosomal RNA". Lineage: Eukaryota; Viridiplantae; Streptophyta; Magnoliopsida; Poales; Poaceae. The record is from RNAcentral.
AUGGGCCAAGCCAUGCCCAUUGCUGUGUUGGUCCUCGCAAUGACCAUCGUAGUACUCAAUACCACACACCUGCUCAGCUUGUCACCCAUCCACCUCCUCCUUGUCGGCGUUCUUCCCGCCGUCGUGGCCGCGGCGUACCUCAUGAACCGCCCCCGUACCGUGUACCUCGUCGAUUACGCCUGCUUCCUCCCAAGUCCUAGCUGGCGUUUCCCCAUCUCCACCUUCGUGGAGCACGUCCAGCUGAUGCCCUUCUUUGACGACCCCAGCGUCCGCUUCAUGGCGCGCACGCUCGACCGCAGCGGCAUCGGCAACGAGACCAGCCUGCCCCCCGCGCAGCACCACAUUCCACCGCGCAUCAGUCUCAACGACUGCCGCGCCGAGGCGGAGCAGGUCAUCUUCUCCGCGAUCGACGACCUGUUCGCCAAGACGGGCAUCGCCCCGGACACUGUCCAGGUGGUCGUCGUCAACUGCAGCGUGUUCGCCCCGGAGCCGUCCCUCGCGGACACGAUCGUGCGCAGGUACGGGCUCCGCAGCGACGUCCGCAGCGUGAACCUGUCCGGGAUGGGGUGCAGCGCGGGCGUGAUCUCGGCCGGGCUGGCGGCCGGGCUGCUGCGGGCAAUGCCCCGCGGCCGCGGCGGGCGCGCCCUGGUGGUGUCCACGGAGACCAUCACGCCCAACUUCUACGUGGGCAAAGAGCGCGCCAUGCAGCUCUCCAACGUGCUGUUCCGUGUGGGCGGUGCCGCGGCGCUGCUGUCGACGGCGGCCGAGGACAAGGCCAGGGCGCGGUUCCGGCUGGCGCACCUCGUGCGGACCACCACCGCCGGCGCGGACGAGGGCGCCUCCUACGGGUGCAUCUUCCAGGAGGAGGACGGCGAGGGCAACGCCGGCGUCAAUUUAUCCAAGGAGCUCCUGUCCGUCGCCGGCAACGCCCUGAAGGCCAACAUCACGGAACUGGGCCCGCUGGUGCUCACGCUCUCGGAGCAGCUGCGCUUCCUGUGGUCUCUCGUCGCCCCGCGCAACCUGCGGAAGGUCAAGGGCAGGUGGAGGUGGGUGGUGAGGCCGCGCGUGCCUGACUUCCUCACGGCGGUGGACCACUUCUGCAUCCACUCCGGCGGGCGCGCGGUGAUCGACAAGGUGCAACGGAGCCUCGGGCUGUCGGACGUGCACGUGGAGCCGUCGCGCAUGGCGCUCCACCGGUUCGGGAACACGUCCAGCAGUUCAGUGUGGUACGAGCUGGCGUACGUGGAGGCCAAGGGCAGGAUGCGCGAGGGCCACCGGGUUUGGAUGAUCGCGUUUGGGUCCGGGUUCAAGUGCAACAGCGCCGUGUGGGAGUGCAUCCGCCCCGCGGACCACCCGGACAAGGCGUGGGCCGGGUGCAUACAUCGCUACCCGGUCAGCAAAUAUCCACAGACACGGACAUGA